Long non-coding RNA from Labeo rohita (rohu), 2248 nucleotides. RefSeq lists it as uncharacterized. The record is from RefSeq and is a predicted model, not a curated record. The transcript has 2 exons. NCBI's taxonomy places the organism in Eukaryota, Metazoa, Chordata, Actinopteri, Cypriniformes, Cyprinidae.
CCGCCAUUUUGAAGUAAAUUCAAAACCUACUUUUGCGAACUAGUCCUAGGUUUUUCGCCCGAUCGGAACCAAACCAGUGCAGAAAUGUUCUCUGGACAGUGAAUAUCAAUAAUUAUCAAAAAAAAGUUGAAAUUUCGACUCAUCGUUGCAAAAGGUCCCCAAAAAGUUUGUCAGGUGGGGGGCCAUUUUUACUAAAAUGGCUAUAACUCAUGAACCAAAUGAGAUAUCUUCACCAAACUUGGUACACAUGUGUAUAAGCUCAAUCUUUGGUCAAAUAAAAAAAAUUGCACAGCUCUGCCACUUGGUGGCGCUAUAAGCCUGAAAAAACAUAAAAAUGACUAUAACUAUGCAAUCGUUGGUCCGAUCGACCUGAAAAUUGGUAUGCAGUGUCUCUGUCCAAUGUGCCAUAAGGGUCUAUGAGGACAUUGGCGUAUCUCAAAAAACAUGGCCGCCAUCGGCCAAUGAAGUUUGAGCACCUAUUAGACAAGGUUAACGGAGGCCGAUCGGAACAAAACUCACUGGGCAUGUUCGACUCAUGGCCCUAAAGGUCUGUAAGAAUUUUGAAAGAAAUCGGCCACUAGUUGGCGCUAACGAGUUUUAUGGCUCUGUAAUCACGUGGUGUUUCACACAUCCACACAAUAUGCAUAUCAUUUGAUAGAUCUCCUCAUGAUGAACAACUUUGCCUCAAGAACCAUUGCUGUCAAUCAAACCGUUCAUUAAUUAUUCACAAAUAUGUGAAAAACCUACUUUUGCGAACUAGUCCUAGGUUUUUCACUCAAUCUCGAUCAAACCACUGCAGCACAGUUCUCCAGACUCUCUAGAUCAAUAAUUAUCAAAAAAAUGUUGAAUUUUGUCCUUUGGUUAGCUAUAACGGGGUCAUUUAGAAAAGGGGCGUGGCCACAUAUACCCAAAAGCCUAUAAAACCUAAACAAAAACUCAAAACUUUACAAAAGUUGGAGAAAACAUGUGUCAGAUGACUCUUAACAAGCAUGCAAAGUUUCGUGAAGAUCGGACCAUAGGUGGCGCUAUAACAGUUAAAAAGGCUUCAAAAACACAAGCUGUGUAUGGUAAAUGGCUUCAAAUGGCUAAAUAAAUGCUAGUAUAUUCACACAAACACUAGAUCUUCAUAUCAUUUGAUAGAUCUCCUCAUGAUGAACAACUUUGCCUCAAGAACCAUUGCUGUCAUUCAAGUCGUUCAUUAAUUAUUCACAAAUAUGUUAAAAACCUACUUUUGCGAACUAGUCCUAGGUUUUUCGCUUAAUCUCGAUCAAACCACUGCAGUAAUAUUCUCUGGACUCUCUAGAUCAAUAAUUAUCAAAAAAAUGUUGAAUUUUGUCCUUUGGUUAGCUAUAACGGGGUCAUUUACAAAAGGGGCGUGGCCACAUAUACCCAAAAGCCUAUCAAAACUAAACAAAAACUCAAAACUUUACGAAAAUUGGUGAAAACAUGUGUCAGAUGAUUCUUAACAAGCAUGCAAAGUUUCGUGAAGAUCGGACCAUAGGUGGUGCUAUAACAGUUAAAAAGGCUUCAAAAACACAACAUUUCUAUUGUAAUUGGCCUCGAAUUGCUAAAAAAUGCUCAUUUUUUCACACAAACACUAGAUCUUCAUACCAUAUGAUAGAUCUCCUCAUUCUCAACAAUUUUUUGUCUAAGACCAUUGCUGUCAAUCCAACUGUUCUUUAAAUAUGUUCUUUAAAUCUACUGUACCCAAAAGCCUAACAUUUUUAAAAGAAAGCUUGCAACGUCUCAAAACUGUGACAAAAAUGACAAAUAAUCUCAUUCUAAACAAAUAUGCAAAAUUUAAGAGAGACUGGGCAAAAAUAACACUAUAAUAGUUAUGAUGUUUAAAAUCUCAGUGUUUGUAUGAGACAUUGCAUGAAAUUGCAAUAAUAACCACUAGAUGUCAGUAGAAGACCACUAAUGGGCUUAUUCAGCUGAACACAACUGCUUUUAAUAGGUUUGAUGAUCGAUUAACACUUAUAAAAUCACUGUUAUAACAUUUAAAAUCACAUUUAGGCAAAGCUUACAAUUUUGUUCAUACAGACAUAUCAGUUUUUUACAAUUAUGCCACAUUAUGAUUACAGUGAAAUCUGAAAAAGACACAAACUGUUACAAAGAGAAUACUUGCAAGUAAAAGUGUUGGCCCAUAUCAUUUAUUUCAAAUAUCUGUACAAGAAAAUGUGUAUGCAUGUAUGUCUCUGUGUGUGUAAACAUGUUUAUUCAGUAUUAAUAUAUUAGUUUAAACUUU